AACACAUGCAAGUCGAGCGGGGGAAGGUAGCUUGCUACCGGACCUAGCGGCGGACGGGUGAGUAAUGCUUAGGAAUCUGCCUAUUAGUGGGGGACAACAUCUCGAAAGGGAUGCUAAUACCGCAUACGUCCUACGGGAGAAAGCAGGGGAUCUUCGGACCUUGCGCUAAUAGAUGAGCCUAAGUCGGAUUAGCUAGUUGGUGGGGUAAAGGCCUACCAAGGCGACGAUCUGUAGCGGGUCUGAGAGGAUGAUCCGCCACACUGGGACUGAGACACGGCCCAGACUCCUACGGGAGGCAGCAGUGGGGAAUAUUGGACAAUGGGGGGAACCCUGAUCCAGCCAUGCCGCGUGUGUGAAGAAGGCCUUAUGGUUGUAAAGCACUUUAAGCGAGGAGGAGGCUACUUUAGUUAAUACCUAGAGAUAGUGGACGUUACUCGCAGAAUAAGCACCGGCUAACUCUGUGCCAGCAGCCGCGGUAAUACAGAGGGUGCGAGCGUUAAUCGGAUUUACUGGGCGUAAAGCGUGCGUAGGCGGCUUAUUAAGUCGGAUGUGAAAUCCCCGAGCUUAACUUGGGAAUUGCAUUCGAUACUGGUGAGCUAGAGUAUGGGAGAGGAUGGUAGAAUUCCAGGUGUAGCGGUGAAAUGCGUAGAGAUCUGGAGGAAUACCGAUGGCGAAGGCAGCCAUCUGGCCUAAUACUGACGCUGAGGUACGAAAGCAUGGGGAGCAAACAGGAUUAGAUACCCUGGUAGUCCAUGCCGUAAACGAUGUCUACUAGCCGUUGGGGCCUUUGAGGCUUUAGUGGCGCAGCUAACGCGAUAAGUAGACCGCCUGGGGAGUACGGUCGCAAGACUAAAAACUCAAAUGAAUUGACGGGGGCCCGCACAAGCGGUGGGAGCAUGUGGGUUUAAUUUCGAUGCAACGCGAAGAAACCUUACCUGGGCCUUGACAUACUAGAAACUUUCCAGAAGAUGGAUUG
This 976-nucleotide ribosomal RNA is filed under the name Acinetobacter baumannii. RNAcentral describes it as "bacterial SSU rRNA". It matches the Rfam family "Bacterial small subunit ribosomal RNA", at positions 50 to 1013 of the family's 1533-position model. Lineage: Bacteria; Pseudomonadati; Pseudomonadota; Gammaproteobacteria; Moraxellales; Moraxellaceae. The record is from RNAcentral.